GACGAACGCUGGCGGCGUGCUUAACACAUGCAAGUCGAACGAAGAGCGAUGGACGCUUGCUUCUAUCAAUCUUAGUGGCGAACGGGUGAGUAACGCGUAAUCAACCUGCCCUUCAGAGGGGAACAACAGUUGGAAACGACUGCUAAUACCGCAUACGAUCUAAACUCGGCAUCGAGGAUAGAUGAAAGGUGGCCUCUACAUGUAAGCUAUCACUGAAGGAGGGGAUUGCGUCUGAUUAGCUAGUUGGAGGGGUAACGGCCCACCAAGGCGAUGAUCAGUAGCCGGUCUGAGAGGAUGAACGGCCACAUUGGGACUGAGACACGGCCCAGACUCCUACGGGAGGCAGCAGUGGGGAAUCUUCCGCAAGGGACGAAAGUCUGACGGAGCAACGCCGCGGGAGUGAGGACGGCCUUCGGGUUGUAAAGCUCGGUUAAUCGGGACGAAAGGCCUUCUUGCGAAUAGUGAGAAGGAUUGACGGUACCGGAAUAGAAAGCCACGGCUAACUACGUG
This 510-nucleotide ribosomal RNA is filed under the name uncultured bacterium. Its description in RNAcentral is "partial 16S ribosomal RNA". It matches the Rfam family "Bacterial small subunit ribosomal RNA", at positions 28 to 507 of the family's 1533-position model. The record is from RNAcentral.